Long non-coding RNA from Lates calcarifer (barramundi perch), 1846 nucleotides. RefSeq lists it as uncharacterized. NCBI's taxonomy places the organism in Eukaryota, Metazoa, Chordata, Actinopteri, Centropomidae. The record is from RefSeq and is a predicted model, not a curated record. The transcript has 3 exons.
UUAGAGUCCAACAGAACAAAACCAACCAGGCCAGAGAGACACACAUACAUGUUCCAGAUGACGUCUUCGUUACAUGCCAUGAAUCUAACAUUCAUAUCCUCGUUAUUGUGGCUGCUGGAUUCUUGUUUAUUGCAAGUAUUGCAGUUUUCAUUGUUGUGUGGAAAUGGAGACCAAACAAAAGUAAAAUGAAUAAAAUGAAGGAUGUCAAAGAGAGAGGAGAAGAGGAAGAAAAGGUAGAGGUGAUGGAAAUACUGAUGGGCCAAAGGAACCAACAGGAGAACUUAAGAGACCAACUAAGAUCAGAGCUGAAAGAGGUGGAGACAGAGAUGAGUGAGAAGAAGCAGCAGCUGGAGUAUAGAAAUAAAUUGUUUUUGUCCAGCAUAUUACCUGAUGAAGUUAAGGCCAAUCUAGCAGAGACCUGUAAAGAACUGGAAAAGAGACGAGUUGGACUUGAGGAAUGUCUCAACAACUCUGAAAAACAACUACAGACAACAGAUGAAGUGAUUGCGAGAAUGACAGCAGCAGAAAAGGAACGAGAAGAGACUCAAAAAACCUCCAAAAAUCUGAGCUGUCACAAAGAGGAGGUAAAUGAAACUGCUAUAAUGUUAGCAUCAAGAGAGGAACAUUAUUCUGAACCUUAAAUUAAAGCUUACAUGUAGACAAGAUGGACUGAGACCAGUGAGCUUACUCAUUUUGAUUAAUUUUGAGCUGACUUGCUACAGUUGAACAGAGAAAAACUGAAAUCAUUGCUCUGGGUCCAAAGAAGAAAGAUUUAAAGUCAGUUUUCACCUUGAAUCCAUGACACUAACAUCUACAAUUCAAGCUAGAAAUCUUGGUGCAGUUACAGACUCUUAUCUAAAGACAAGACAAUACCACCUUAAAAACAUAGGAAGUAUUAGAGGAUUUCUGUCUGAACAAGAUGCAAGUACUUCACUAAUCCCAUAAAAUUUCAUUUCCUGCAGCUUACCCAUAAUGUACAACCCCCUUUUAAUUUUGAGCUAUUUAUUGGCUUGUUUUAGCUGUUGUUUUUAUUGUCAUGUAAAUGCUUUUUUUUCAGUUUUCUUAAUGUUUUAUCUUUAAUGUGUUUCUAUGCCACUGUAAAGCACUUUGAAUGUCCUUGUGUUUGAAUGGUGCUUUAUUAAUAAAGCUGGCCUGCCUUGCAAAGUUCAGUCUAAUCAAAUCUAAGUAAACAAUAAACAGUACAGUAGUUACUAUAUGUAAUUAUUUGAACAUAUUUGUCAUAGUGCUGCUCGUUAAAGAUUAACAAAGCAGGAUAUUACUGUUCAUGUGAUCCUUUUCAUGUGAUUUUACUGGACUUUGUUACUAGACUGUCUGAGACGGGGUGAUUGUGUGAACCAGUGAACAGGUAGGCUGAAACUAUGUUCUACUUUUAAUUAAACAUAAAAAAGGAAAACCAUUUUGACUUGCUUGUAUUCCUCUCAGUAGUCUGUGGAGGGGGAUCUGCUUUAUAAUUCCAAAACACUGUUUUAUCAAUAAUGUACAGAGUUACAGGACUGGCUGAUCUGCAGCAUGUUAAAUUCACUCUUUUAAAGUGACAAACCUCCCCAACACAUUACUGAAUAAACACUGAAGAAAAACACGUUUAAUAGGUGAAUACAGAAAAUCUCAGUCUUUUUAUCAUGUGACUAAACACCAAGAAAGCAGGUAACUGUAGUCCCACAGAUGGCAGACGUUACACUUAUAGGAACUGUAUGACACCACACAGAAAAUGUAGGAUGUUUACUCACAUGACAGAAAUAUUGGGAGUUUUGACAUAAGUGUGAUUUGACUUACUGUAAAUGCUGUUUUAUGAAGCCUCAUAUUAAAGUUUGAGCGUUAACUCGUU